RNAcentral lists this ribosomal RNA (459 nucleotides) under uncultured bacterium. Its description in RNAcentral is "partial 16S ribosomal RNA". It matches the Rfam family "Bacterial small subunit ribosomal RNA", at positions 338 to 795 of the family's 1533-position model. The record is from RNAcentral.
CCUACGGGUGGCAGCAGUGAGGAAUAUUGGUCAAUGGCCGCAGGGCUGAACCAGCCAAGUCGCGUGAAGGAUGACGGUCCUAUGGAUUGUAAACCUCUUUUGUAAGGGAGUAAAGCGCCCCACGUGUGGCGCUUUGCGUGUACCUGAAGAAAAAGCAUCGGCUAACUCCGUGCCAGCAGCCGCGGUAAUACGGAGGAUGCGAGCGUUAUCCGGAUUUAUUGGGUUUAAAGGGUGCGCAGGCGGAAUGUCAAGUCUGCGGUAAAAUUUCGGGGCUCAACCCCGUCGUGCCGUGGAAACUGGCGUUCUUGAGUGAGCGAGAAGUAUGCGGAAUGCGUGGUGUAGCGGUGAAAUGCAUAGAUAUGACGAAGAACCCCGAUUGCGAAGGCAGCAUACCGGCGCUCAACUGACGCUCAUGCUCGAAAGCGUGGGUAUCGAACAGGAUUAGAUACCCUUGUAGUC